CUCCAUCUACUAUAACAACAGGAUUUGGAAUUUAAACGAACCAUAGUAUAUAUUUAACAUUCAUUUGAGCAAAAAUCAGAACUGUUACUCAGCAUUUUUGUUUUGGGGAAUGUAUCAAGAUCAAAUUUACCUUAUCAUUAACACAUCUGUUUCGUUUCUGAAGGCUAAAAUGCGGAGUUUCUCUUGGUGGAUUCGUUUUUUCGACCAAAGUAGUUUAAAAGAAAACGAAACUGCCGUGAAGAAGUUUGAGCAGGCUACGUCAAAGAGUUCAUACCUGCCAGCAUGUCAAGUAUUCCACCUAAAUCCAUACCACUGAUACAAAGAGAAAAGUCAUCAAGAUCAAAUUUCCAUUAUUUUUGUUGUCAUAUGCAUUGAAGGUGAAGUAAAAAUAUCUUCAGCUCUCAUACAACAUGUACUCUGUUGGGGAACUAAAUUUGGUAAAAGAGAUGUUGGUAUCAAUGGGUUAAUGCCCUUAACAUUACAGGUUUGAUAUUUAUUAAUUCAAUCGAUGGGGAAAAUUACACCUAUUUGUUGUAGACAUGCAUUUAUUUAGUUAUAUUGUUUUCUGAAUGUGGAAGUAAAUCUAGCUUCCCAUUAUGAGAUUACCCAUAUUUCUAUUUGUCUUCUCUUCAAACAACUUCUUGUAACAUGAAAUGAGACAAGGUAGUCUAAAUUUCCAAUCGGUAUUGUAGUUGGCACUCAUUGGCAUAUAUUAACUUUUAGAUUAUUUUAAGAUUGCUUUUAACUUUGAUUUCAAAAUGUUUUGCACAUGAUUCAUUGAUUUUUAUUUCUUCAUUUCAAGCUCAACAUGCCAUUGGGGCAACAAAAUUUAGCUAUCACUUUCAAGCCAGAAUGCAGAAAAUCGAUCAAAUCACAAUGGACUAAAAUCAAUGGGGGCAAACCGCAUGACCUACAAUUCCUACUAGUAUCCUACAAACAAAUAACCCUUCAAUCACACCUACUUUAAGCACUAACUUGAACAAAAAAAUAUUUAGGUCUUGAUAGUAAUUGAUCUAUUCAAAAGUUUUUCUUUACGUCAUUGGAUUGUUAGUGAGUUCCAAACAACAAUUCAAUGAUCGAUGUAGUGGAUUAAUACUCAUUGACGAGUAGAAUAUGCUUUAGAUUUAAAUCGAUCGGAUGGCUAGUUUCAAAGAUUGGAGAAAAAAAAUUGGUUGGAUUUUGAUUCUCAAAUUCAUGACGUUUAAAGUUAUUUCAUAAAAAGAAAUUAAACUGUAGAAGAGAAGAGGAAUAAGAGUUUUCAAUGGGUGAAUGCGAUGCAAAUAGAGAAGACCAUACAACAAAGAUUUUAACAAUUCAGUGAUUUAAACAAAAUUUUUUAAAUAAUUCAAUAACUAUUUUAUAACUUUUUGAAGUAAAAUAACAAAAUCUAAUUUUACUUGUAAUGUAUUCUUAAAUCUAAUAGCCAUUAUUGCUAUUCGAUCUAUUGAUGCGGCGUCGUAUCAUAUCACCGACGCGCUAGUAACUGUAUGCAUAUGUAUCACACAACUCCGAAAGGCGCGCUCAAACACGUUGGAUCUUAGCUUUAAGCAAAAACAAAUUUAAUUAAAAAAAAACAGUGAAAAAUAAAAAUACUGAGUAUCCAAUCCAACCCAAAGUCCCUUUCAAACUCGACUAGCUGUUAAAUUCUCUUUUUUAGCCAAAAAUGGUGUAAAUUCAAACUAGUAUACCGUUCGAAGAAAAAAAAAGAGCCAAAUAAGCUUCUUUUUUCCUUCACAGAUCUGAGAUCCAAAAUCCAAAUCUAAGGCGAAUUUUUAAUUUUUAUUUCAUAAUUUCUUCCAUUUUAUGUUAGCUUUCUCAUGUUUUUGGAUCUGUUUUGUUUUUUCAAUGAAAAUGCUAAAAUUUUGUGUAAAUCUGUUGUAUGUUUGGUGCAGUGUAAGCAAUUACAUCAAAUAUAUUAUUAUAAGAGUAAAAAGCAAAGUAAAAAUGUCAAGGAGGCAAGUAAGUUCCACGCGCCGAUUUGUUGACAGCGGAAACUUCCCGUUCUCUGGUGCUUUACAUUCUAAAUCCCGAUCUUCUCCUAUUUUAUCUAUCGCUCUUGUCGUUGUGGUAAUAUCUUUAUCUUUUCCUUUCUUUUUUGUGGUUUUUGAAUUUUUUCAAUUAAUGUUACAUUUUGAAAAGGACAUUAACUGGGGUAAUAUUUUUGAAAAUGAUUUACAGGGAGCUAUCCUUCUCAUUGGCUAUGCCUAUAGUGGUUCAGGUAUUCUUCUUUUUUUAUUGGAAUUUCUUAUUUGUGUUUACUUGUUUUUGUUUGUUGGAUAUGCUGGUCUUGUUAGUUCAAUUAAUUGUUCACACUGUUUAUACUGUUCGUGAAUAUAGGUAAAUUCCGAGGUGAAGCAGUUAGUCGGAUCGAAGGUAAAUUAUUCUUUUACUUUCUUCCUCAUUGGAUUUAAUGUUCAUAAUGAAAUGAACUCGUGAAGUUACUGAUUUUUAUUUGAUUUUGAUGUCAUCGUGUCUCUUUGGAACUACUUGAAUAUUUAGUGGAUUCAUUAAUGCUUUGUUUGGUAGAGUAGAUAAAUUGGGAGGAUGAGUUCACAUGUUAUAUCAAAUUUAGUUAAGAUUCAAUGCACAUAUGUAUCCGAGAGCGUAUAUAUAAGAUAUUUUUAUUCAUUGGAGAGAAUAUUUUGGACAAAAAAAAAAUAUUGAUCUUAGAGGCCUUACUUCUGCAUCUCAAGGUAAUGGAGCUUUCUUGCAUUUGAUACUUGUACCAUAGAAUAAUCUCUUACAAUUUGUCAUAAUCUUCUCCUUAAGUGCUUUCUAGAGGGGUAAAAGUAUCAUGGAAGCCCCUAUACUAGAAGUCGGAUUGCAUUUUGGUCCCUAUACUCAAAAAAAGGGGCAAAUUAGUCCUUGUACGUUAAAUCAAAGAGCAAAUUGGUCCUUUUAUAAAAAAAUUCAUCUAUUUUUACCUUUAAAAACUAGUUCUUGUACGUCAGCAGGACGUACGCGUAUGUGUCACUAUCUAGUUAUUCUUUUAGCCAUGUUAGUUUUUAACAAUACAAAGGGAUGAAAUUUUUAAAAGAAAAGACCAAUUUGCUCUUUGAUCUAAAAUAUACAGUGACUAAUUUGCCUAUUUUUUAGUAGAGGGAGCAAAAUGCAAUAUGACUCUUAGUAUAGGGGUUUCCAUGAUACUUUUAACUUUUUAGAGGAAGGAAAGUUGAAAGAUAAGGUGGGAUUUUAUUUAAUUUUGGCCCGAGGAAUAAAAGGGAUUAUCAGAUGUGGUUAUAUUAGUUAGAUAUGGUUUGCAUCUUCUGUGAUAACUGGAAGACUGAAAGUUAAUGGUUAUAAUGGAUUUGCCAUGCUCUGUUAAGGGUGUGUUUUCAUUGAGUGUAAUGUUCUGAAAAUCAAUUAUUUUCUUGUUAUCUUUGUAGGUGACUAUACAUGCAGUCUAGAAGUUCAGAGGGCAAUACCAUUUUUGAAGAAGGCAUAUGGGGACAGCAUGCACAAGGUUUUGCAUGUAGGACCUGAUACCUGUUCAGUUGUCUCUAAACUUUUGAAAGAAGAGGAUACUGAAGCCUGGGGUGUGGAACCAUAUGAUAUAGAGGAUGUUGAAGAAAGUUGCAAGAGUCUUGUGGGUAAAGGGAUUGUACGUGUGGCAGAUAUCAAGUACCCUCUUCCCUAUAAGCCAAAGUCUUUUUCUCUUGUUAUUGUGUCGGAUGCCCUUGAUUACUUGUCUCCAAAAUACCUGAACAAGACUCUGCUUGAGUUGGCCAGGGUUGCCUCUGAUGGUCUCAUUAUUUUUGCAGGUAAUCCCUUACUCUUUCAAGUUCUAUAUAAAUUAUAAAACAAGAGUUACUCAGGCCAAAAAUGCUUAUAUCCAGAUAUAUUUUCUUACAAAAAAGCUGUACCAUAACUAUAACAUGAUAUAUUUUCAUUUGUCGAUCAGGUACCCCUGGUCAUCAGAAGGCUAAAGUGGCAGAACUAUCGAAAUUCGGCCGGCCAGUAAGUCCCUAUAUGCUAGUUGAAAUCAACCAUAGUAUAUAUUUAACAUUCAUUUGAUCAAAAAUCAGAACUGUUACUCAGCAUUUUUGUUUUGGGGAAUGUAUCAAGAUCAAAUUUACCUUAUCAUUAACACAUCUGUUUCGUUUCUGAAGGCUAAAAUGCAGAGUUCCUCUUGGUGGAUUCGUUUUUUCGACCAAAUCAGUUUAAAAGAAAAUGAAACUGCCGUGAAGAAGUUUGAGCAGGCUGCAUCAAAGAGUUCAUACCUGCCAGCAUGUCAAGUAUUCCACCUAAAUCCAUACCACUGAUACAAAGAGAAAAGUCAUCAAGAUCAAAUUUCCAUUAUUUUUGUUGUCAUAUGCAUUGAAGGUGAAGUGAAAAUAUCUUCAGCUCUCAUACAACAUGUACUCUGUUGGGGAACUAAAUUUGGUAAAAGAGA
RNAcentral lists this long non-coding RNA (4393 nucleotides) under Gossypium barbadense (sea-island cotton). RNAcentral describes it as "long non-coding RNA (GBAR_LNC014658)". Lineage: Eukaryota; Viridiplantae; Streptophyta; Magnoliopsida; Malvales; Malvaceae. The record is from RNAcentral.